This 344-nucleotide ribosomal RNA is filed under the name Temoropia mayumbaensis. RNAcentral's name for it is "partial 28S ribosomal RNA". The record is from RNAcentral. Lineage: Eukaryota; Metazoa; Arthropoda; Copepoda; Calanoida; Temoridae.
AGUACGUGAAACUGUGUGGUGGUAAACGGAGGCGUUCUUGAAGUUUCUGUGGGGAACUCAACCUUGGUGGCUGGCGGCCCGGCUGUACGUGAUCAGCAAUGACUCUGCAGACGGUUUGGCCGGCUUCUCGGGCGCAUUUUCCCCACAGUUUACGGCAGGAACUGUUUGGAGCAGACCAAAGGCCUCGGGUGAAGUUGUCGGUUCUGCUGGCAGCCCUGGGUGUCCUGGCUUCGCACCAGACAGGUAUCAGAGAGGACUCGUAUAUCGAGCAAUGCCCUGUUGCGGUUCUCAUAUCUCUGCCGAGUAGGUCAGAGGCGCCUCCGACCCGUCUUGAAACACGGACA